This 405-nucleotide ribosomal RNA is filed under the name uncultured bacterium. RNAcentral describes it as "partial 16S ribosomal RNA". It matches the Rfam family "Bacterial small subunit ribosomal RNA", at positions 29 to 526 of the family's 1533-position model. The record is from RNAcentral.
AUUGAACGCUGGCGGCAGGCCUAACACAUGCAAGUCGAACGAGUGGCGGACGGGUGAGUAAUGUCUGGGAAACUGCCCGAUGGAGGGGGAUAACUACUGGAAACGGUAGCUAAUACCGCAUACCAUCAGAUGUGCCCAGAUGGGAUUAGCUUGUAGGUGGGGUAACGGCUCACCUAGGCGACGAUCCCUAGCUGGUCUGAGAGGAUGACCAGCAACACUGGAACUGAGACACGGUCCAGACUCCUACGGGAGGGAGCAGGGGGGAAUAUUGAAAAAGGGGCGCAAGCCAGAUGCAGCCAUGCCGGGUGUAUGAAGAGGGCCUUCGGGUUGGAAAGUACUUUCAGCGGGGAGGGGUUACCCGCAGAAGAAGCACCGGCUAAAUCCGUGCCAGCAGCGGCGUAAUAC